GCCGAAGUGGCGGAAUCGGCAGACGCGCUACGUUCAGGGCGUAGUGGGCGCAAUCCCGUGCGAGUUCAAGUCUCGCCUUCGGCACCA
RNAcentral lists this transfer RNA (87 nucleotides) under Burkholderiaceae bacterium. Its description in RNAcentral is "tRNA-Leu". It matches the Rfam family "tRNA". Rfam says of the family: Transfer RNA (tRNA) molecules are approximately 80 nucleotides in length. Lineage: Bacteria; Pseudomonadati; Pseudomonadota; Betaproteobacteria; Burkholderiales; Burkholderiaceae. The record is from RNAcentral.